GUCUAUGACCAUACCACCCUGAACGUAUCCGAUCUCAUCUGAUCACGGAAGCUAAGCAAGGUCGGGCCUGGUUAGUACUUGGAGGGGAGAAGUUUUUUUUUUUAAAACAGAAGUUCUAUAUGUAGUCAUAUCCU
Molecule: ribosomal RNA, 134 nt
Filed under: Castor canadensis (American beaver)
Lineage: Eukaryota; Metazoa; Chordata; Mammalia; Rodentia; Castoridae
Source: RNAcentral